This 3012-nucleotide ribosomal RNA is filed under the name Necator americanus (New World hookworm). RNAcentral's name for it is "eukaryotic LSU rRNA". The stretch from base 439 to 3012 matches the Rfam family "Eukaryotic large subunit ribosomal RNA". Lineage: Eukaryota; Metazoa; Nematoda; Chromadorea; Rhabditida; Ancylostomatidae. The record is from RNAcentral.
CUGGUCCGAAGCGAACCUCAUUGACUCUGGGCACUGAGAAGCUUGUGGCGAGUGAUCCCUGUACCAAAAAAAGAAUGCGUCACUACUCAACGAAUCAACGAAACGGUGCCAGGGUGCGACUCACUUCACAACUCGGCUAUUUCACCGUGAAGACGUCUACCAAAAAAGUUGAUUUCGAAGAAGUUCAAUCUAGUGUACAGUGUGAUAUAUGAAAGUAUACGUUACUGCGCAUAUUGAUUGGAACAACUUUAGUCGAUCACGCUUUAAAGGUUGUUAAUAAAGCUAUAAAACGCAGUCUGCACAUUGGGGCUAGAAUCUGAAAUAUUAGGAUAAGUGUACUUGGUUUAGUGCACUUUCUCAGUUUCAGUUCGGAUAUUAAGACUACUGUGCAUGACUUAGUGUACUUUUUCAAUUUCGACCCAGCACAUCUUUAGAUUUACAACUUACAUUUACAACAUACAUGCGAACAAACUACAUGAGUGAAAUUACCACCUCCUGAAAUUCGCCAAAGUUUGGGUAGAAUCAGGUGCAACAUCUCCCUAAUUAUUUCUUGUUGGCUUCAAGAAAAUAAUUCUCUUGCAAGUAAAUAGUCACUCAUGUAGUGUAAUUUAGUGCAAGCAUUUGAAGUGAAAGGUGGUGUGGUAUUCAAGCGGUUCAAUAAGCUUUUCUAAAACUGUCAUCAUACUUAGAAUAGGCGUGUCCAAUGUUCUGCCAUAUCUAGGGCAGAAGCGGCUGACCUGCAGUUGGUGAGGAACACACUAGCACUUGCUAUCUGAUCUCAAAUAAUUGAGUAAAAAAUCUGCUGAGAAGGGGAGCAUGUAGUCUAGUCUCUAGAUGCUGCAAAUAUCCUUUAUCUCUGGAGAAGAUGAUGUUGAAAACGAGAAGGGCGAAAUCAUUUACAAAAAGAAAAUAAGCAAACGGGGCCAGAAUUAUUACUAAGUAGGUGUGGUAAAAGAGAGUACUUUAGUCUUAAAUACAAAUAGGAUAGACAGCAGGACGGUGGACAUGGAAGUCCGUACGCGCUAACAAGUGUGUAAAAACUUACCUGCCGAGUCAACUAGCCUUGAAAAUGGAAGGAGACGCUUGAACGAGAAACCUACACCCAACCGAACUGGCUAGGGCUUUGGGUGUACGCACAGCUGGAGCUUCCGUCAGUGCAGAUCUCGGUGGUAGCAGUAAUUAUUUAAGUUCAAUCCUUGAAGACUGAAGUGGAGAAGGGGUCCAUGUGAACAGUAGUUGAAUGUGGCCAGUCGAUCCUAAGACACUGGUCUACACCUUCUAUCAUUAAGAGAGGAAAGUUUCUUUUCUCUUGGGCAUCAAAAGGGAAUAGGGUGACAAUUCUCUACCGCAUAUAGAAAAAGAUUGCGGCUCUUUGAGUCUCUUACGCGGUAACGCAUUCGAGUUUGGUUGAAUUUUGUUACUUCACUCGGAGAUUAGUUGAGCAUAACAGAGUUAUCUUCUCUAGCUAAGGAACGGACUCCCUGGAAUUGGUUCAGCCGUAGAUAGGGACAUUGUUACCGUAAAGCAUCGCGAUUUCUGUGAUAUCUCGUAACCUAUGGUCUGCCCUUGAAAAACCAAGGAAAUCCAAUAAUCUGUGCUGCAUCGUACCGAUAUCCGCAUCAGGUCUCCAAGGUGAACAACCUUUAGUCGAAAGAACAAUGUAGGUAAGGCAAUUCUGCAAAUAAGAUCCAUAACUUCGAGAAAAAGAUUGGCUCCAGUGAACUGAUCGGUUGACCUGUUAACUGAUGCGGUUUCGCUCGUGGCUGGACUAGUGACAAGAUUGCCUUGUUGAGGUUUUCAGGUGUGUGCUUUGUCUUCGGGCUUAUUAUCCUGACCGACCAUCAAAUGGUCGAACUGGAACUGAUAAGGACUGGGGGAAUCCGACUGUCUAAUUAAAACAGAGGAGGCAGGUGGUUCUAGCGGGCGUUUACUCUCUCCAAUUUCUGCUGAGUGUCCUGAAUGUUGAAUAGUAGUAAUUCGAGUGAACGUGGGUAAACGGCGCGAGUAACUGUGACUCUCUUAAGGUAGCGAAAUGCCUCGUUAGCUAACUACUGAUGCGCAUGAACGAAACCAACCCUGUGUAAUGAGAUGAUUGUGGUGGAAAGAGUAUGCUCUCGUGUAGUUUAUCCGCACCUUUUCUGUAUGGUCGUACAAUAGUUGAUUUACCUUAUAAUAGCUCUGGAUAUGCUUAUAACCAUUAAACAUUAACGAGAAAGUACUGUCCCUAACUACUGUCUAGCGAAACCAUAGUCAAGGAAGUGGAAAAAAAGAGCGAGAAAAGAAGACGCUGUUGACUUUGACUCUACUUUGACAUUCUUAAGAGUCAUGAGAGGUGAAGCAUAGCAAGGAGACUUCGGCCUCCAAUGAAAUAUCGCCACUUUCAUCGAUUCUUUACUUAUCCGGUGAGAAGAGAAUUGUAUUUUGGCUGUUUUCCAUCUUUGUGUUAAACAUAUCUCAUUAAUGACACUAUCGUCAUGCGGGGAGUUUGACUGGGGCGGUACAUCUGUUAAAUCGUAAGAAGGUGUCCUAACUGUCCUCAGAGAGGACGGAAACCACUCGUAAAGCGAAAGGACAAAAGCUCGGUUGAGCUUGACUUUCAGUACGAGUACAUACCGCGAUACGUGGCCUAUCGAUCCUUUUAAUUCAGAACGUUUCUAGUAAAAGGUGUCAGAAAAACUAGGACAGGGAUAAUUUGGUUGUGGCAGCCAAGCAUCCGUUUUAGCGACGUUGCUUUUUAACCCUUUUUGAUGUCAGCUCUUCUUAUCAUUGUGAAGCAGAAUUCGCAAACAUUGCAUUGUUCAUCCUAUAAUAGGGAAUAUGUGCGGAGUUUAGACCGCCGUAAGACAGGUUAGUCUACCUUGCUGUUGAAUAAUUGCUGCGAAAGUAGUCGUGCUUAGUGAGAGAGGAAUAGCGGGUUCAGACAUUUGGUUCAUGGACUUGACCAAUCGGUCAGGGGUCCAAAACUAACACCUGUGGAUUAUGACUGAACGCCUCUAAGUCAGAAUUCGAACU